This 253-nucleotide ribosomal RNA is filed under the name uncultured bacterium. RNAcentral describes it as "partial 16S ribosomal RNA". It matches the Rfam family "Bacterial small subunit ribosomal RNA", at positions 524 to 776 of the family's 1533-position model. The record is from RNAcentral.
UACGUAGGGGGCAAGCGUUGUCCGGAAUCAUUGGGCGUAAAGCGCGUGUAGGCGGCUUCGUAAGUCCGUUGUGAAAGUCCAGGGCUCAACCCUGGAAUGCCGAUGGAUACUGCGGAGCUAGGGUCCGGAAGAGGCGAGUGGAAUUCCUGGUGUAGCGGUGAAAUGCGCAGAUAUCAGGAGGAACACCAAUGGCGAAGGCAGCUCGCUGGGACGGUACUGACGCUGAGGAGCGAAAGCCAGGGGAGCAAACGGG